GACGAACCGUACGAACGUUAUUCGGAAUCACUGGGCUUAAAGGGUGCGUAGGCGGCGCAGAAAGUUGGGUGUGAAAGCCCUCGGCUCAACCGAGGAAUUGCGCUCAAAACUACUGUGCUUGAGGGAGAUAGAGGUGAGUGGAACUAAGGGUGGAGCGGUGAAAUGCGUUGAUAUCCUUAGGAACACCGGUGGCGAAAGCGACUCACUGGAUCUCUUCUGACGCUGAGGCACGAAAGCUAGGGUAGCGAAC
This 250-nucleotide ribosomal RNA is filed under the name uncultured bacterium. RNAcentral describes it as "partial 16S ribosomal RNA". It matches the Rfam family "Bacterial small subunit ribosomal RNA", at positions 524 to 773 of the family's 1533-position model. The record is from RNAcentral.